RNAcentral lists this non-coding RNA (23 nucleotides) under Callorhinchus milii (elephant shark). The record is from RNAcentral. Lineage: Eukaryota; Metazoa; Chordata; Chondrichthyes; Chimaeriformes; Callorhinchidae. RNAcentral also lists the same sequence under 47 other names.
AGCAGCAUUGUACAGGGCUAUCA